GGGGGUGACACGGUUUCGACAGAGUGUCUGAGACCGGAUGUGCAUGCCGGAGGGAUGCGAGGCUCCGUAUAAACGCGUAAAAAAGUAAUCGACAAUAGCGAUUACGCUCUUGCCGCCUGACCCUACGGGGAUUUAGGCGACCGCUGACAUGAUUGUCUCCUGCGCAGUCAUGAAGGCGCAAUUGAUGCAGGAUCGGCGCCAGGUCCGCCCACAGGCCGGAUCUGGUUGCGACACAAUGUCUGUGUGGGUGCGGGUCUCCCGCCUGUAGGAUUGCCCGCACCGGCGCUAAAUGCAGGAUAAGCAUGUAGUACAUACGUGUGGAUGCGCCCUGGACCCGGGUUCAAUUCCCGGCACCUCCACCA
RNAcentral lists this transfer-messenger RNA (362 nucleotides) under Oligoflexaceae. RNAcentral describes it as "JADFZC01 sp015232735 Standard tmRNA". It matches the Rfam family "transfer-messenger RNA". Rfam says of the family: Bacterial tmRNA, also known as 10Sa RNA or SsrA, is named for its dual tRNA and mRNA-like properties. Lineage: Bacteria; Pseudomonadati; Bdellovibrionota; Oligoflexia; Oligoflexales. The record is from RNAcentral. RNAcentral also lists the same sequence under 1 other name.